Long non-coding RNA from Alexandromys fortis (reed vole), 1453 nucleotides. RefSeq lists it as uncharacterized. The transcript has 3 exons. The record is from RefSeq and is a predicted model, not a curated record. NCBI's taxonomy places the organism in Eukaryota, Metazoa, Chordata, Mammalia, Rodentia, Cricetidae.
UACUGACCAGGAAUUACAAAAACGGCCACACGCCCCUGGAUUUUCUCCUCUGGAGUUCCUAGCCAUCUUCCUCCAUCCUAGACUUCCUACCCGCGGGGAGGGGGGGGGUCCUUACCUUGCUGCCUGGUAGACACUGAUUUUCUGUUUUGGGUAGACCAAAGUAAAGAUGAAAGACUACAAAAAGCUAAACGAGGAAAACUAUGUCAACUGAAGAUCGUUAGCUUUGCUAAGAUUCGGAGGUGGAAGCUGUCAGGUCCAAAGAAAAGUCCCAACUCCAGAAAGCCGCCCAGAUAUCCAGAAAUGGACUCAACCUGGACUUACUUACAGGAGGGUUUCUGGUAGUUAGAUAAAAGCCUUCAUUCAUUCUUCAGGAAGUUGGGAACCCAGGGUCCCUCUGCCAAAAGAAGUCUUUUCCCUUACCUCGGGCAGAAGGGACGUCUGACUACUUGUGGUGCCUAUUAGCAUAUCAAAGCACAUGCUGGCGACCAGGCUUCCUCAGGCGCAAGUACCUGUUACACGCCUCCCCCCCCCCCCAGCCUUCUCACCUCCUCCCCAACCCUAAACUCCCUCCAGCUCAAAGUCCCCUCAGCUCAUUCUCCUUACACCGGCACUGUUUGAGGUGCUCUCUGUGUCUCCUCUCCUUCUCCUACACCCACCCACCCAACUUGCUCCUGGCCAGGUGCAAGCUGUUAGCCGUGUUCAGCUUGCUUUCUCUCUCUGCUGUGAGACGGCCUUCUAACAGCCCCUGCUCUUGUUCUUCCAGACCCCACGAAACCUUGCCUUCUCUAUAUACGGAUGAGAGGUCAGGAGUGGCCGCUGGAGUUCUAGCCCAACAGGCUGGGCCUUCGAUUCAGGGUGUUGUGUUUUUAUUCAAACAGCUGGACCUCAUCAUCUGUGGGCGGCAGCCAUGCCCGAGAGCCCUGGCAGCAGCAGCUGAACUCACUUGGGAGGCUCUCAAGAUCACCUUGCCUAGGCCAAUCCUGGGUCAUGGAGCUUGUGUCUGAAGCUCUCAACAUCUCAUGGAAAUUCCACAAUCCCUAUCAUCUACAAUCCUUGGGAAAGGUGGAGAGGGCCAAUCGACUCAUCAAACAACAGCUAAUCAAGCUCUCUACUGAACUCAGUCACUGCCUAGUCAUCUCCCUCAAGAAACAGAUGCCUGGUGUCUGUGGGAUGACAGAAAACAGGAUGCCUCUCCAGCCACACCUUUCUCUGAGCGUGAACCCACCAACACCCAGCUCUCUCUUCUCCAAGGUUGCUCCAUGCCUGCAGGAUGUAGCCAGACUUGACUUGAUGCCCCCUUUUCCAAAGAGAGCCUAAAAUGUUGGUCAUAAGUAUCACCUCAGCUUCCUGUCACUUCUUAUACAAACAGUCUGGAAUGUAAUCCCAGUCCAUCAAACCUUGACCCCUCCCCAGGGAAGGUCAAGACCACAGGCUCCUUAAACUGGUCCCUAGA